CCUACGUGAGGCAGCAGUGGGGAAUAUUGGGCAAUGGGCGCAAGCCUGACCCAGCAACGCCGCGUGAAGGAAGAAGGCUUUCGGGUUGUAAACUUCUUUUCUCAGGGACGAAGAAAGUGACGGUACCUGAGGAAUAAGCCACGGCUAACUACGUGCCAGCAGCCGCGGUAAUACGUAGGUGGCAAGCGUUAUCCGGAUUUACUGGGUGUAAAGGGCGUGUAGGCGGGAAAGCAAGUCAGAUGUGAAAACCAUGGGCUCAACCUGUGGCCUGCAUUUGAAACUGUUUUUCGUGAGUACUGGAGAGGCAGACGGAAUUCCUCGUGUAGCGGUGAAAUGCGUAGAUAUGAGGAGGAACACCAGUGGCGAAGGCGGUCUGCUGGACAGCAACUGACGCUGAGGCGCGAAAGCGUGGGGAGCAAACAGGAUUAGAUACCCCGGUAGUC
RNAcentral lists this ribosomal RNA (443 nucleotides) under uncultured bacterium. RNAcentral describes it as "partial 16S ribosomal RNA". It matches the Rfam family "Bacterial small subunit ribosomal RNA", at positions 338 to 795 of the family's 1533-position model. The record is from RNAcentral.